Molecule: ribosomal RNA, 1338 nt
Filed under: metagenome
Description: bacterial LSU rRNA
Rfam family: Bacterial large subunit ribosomal RNA
Source: RNAcentral
CAUGUCUGUGCCAGGAAAAACCUCUAAGGGAGUUUUAUUUGUGCCCGUACCGUAAACCGACACAGGUAGACGAGGCGAAUAGCCUAAGGUGCUCGAGACAACUCGGGAGAAGGAACUCGGCAAAUUAACCCCGUAACUUCGGGAUAAGGGGAGCCUCCAUUUGUUAGUGUGAACAGCACAAAGCAUAAGGAGGCCGCAGAGAAAUGGCGGAAGCGACUGUUUACCAAAAACACAGGGCUAUGCAAACCCGUAAGGGGAGGUAUAUAGUCUGACACGUGCCCGGUGCUGGAAGGUUAACAGGAGAUGUCAGCGCAAGCGAAGCAUUGAAUCGAAGCCCCAGUAAACGGCGGCCGUAACGAUAACGGUCCUAAGGUAGCGAAAUUCCUUGUCGGGUAAGUUCCGACCUGCACGAAUCGUGUAACGACUUCUGCACUGUCUCCUCCCGGGACUCGGCGAAAUUGCAGUGUCGGUGAAGAUGCCGACAACCCGCACCUGGACGGAAAGACCCCAUGAACCUUCACUGUAUUUUGACAUUGGUUUUAGGCUUGACAUGUGUAGGAUAGGUGGGAGGCUUUGAAGCGGUGACGCCAGUCAUCGUGGAGCCAUCCUUGAAAUACCACCCUUGUCCGGUUUGAGAUCUAACCGUGGCCCGUCAUCCGGGUCCGGGACCGUGUCUGAUGGUCAGUUUGACUGGGGCGGUCGCCUCCUAAAUGGUAACGGAGGCAUCCAAUGGUUCCCUCAGCGCGGUCGGUAAUCGCGCGUAGAGCAUAAAGGCAUAAGGGAGCUUGACUGCGAGACAGACAUGUCGAGCAGGUACGAAAGUAGGGCUUAGUGAUCCCGCGGUACAGCGUGGAACGGCCGUUGCUCAAUGGAUAAAAGGUACUCUGGGGAUAACAGGCUGAUCUCCCCCAAGCGUUCAUAGCGACGGGGAGGUUUGGCACCUCGAUGUCGGCUCGUCGCAUCCUGGGGCUGGAGAAGGUCCCAAGGGUUUGGCUGUUCGCCAAUUAAAGCGGCACGCGAGCUGGGUUCAGAACGUCGUGAGACAGUUCGGUCCCUAUCCGGUGUGGGCGCACGAAAUUUGAGGGAACCUGUCCUUAGUACGAGAGGACCGGGGCGGACGCACCUCUGGUGUACCGGCUGUCACGCCAGUGGCAUUGCCGGGUAGCUAUGUGCGGAUUGGAGAAACGCUGAAAGCAUCUAAGCGUGAAGCCAUUCCCAAGAUUAGAUUUCGCGGGGGCAACCCCCUAAAGGAUCGUUAGAGACCAUAACGUUGAUAGGUCACAGGUGUAAGCAUAGCGAUAUGUUGAGCCGAGUGAUACUAAUAGUCCGUGAGGCUCU